GACCACGUAGCUCAGUUGGCAGAGCAUUGGGUUAGUAUUCCAAAGGUCGUAGGUUCGAUUCCCACCGUGGCCA
This 73-nucleotide transfer RNA is filed under the name Paramuricea clavata. It matches the Rfam family "tRNA". Rfam says of the family: Transfer RNA (tRNA) molecules are approximately 80 nucleotides in length. Their secondary structure includes four short double-helical elements and three loops (D, anti-codon, and T loops). The record is from Rfam by way of RNAcentral. Lineage: Eukaryota; Metazoa; Cnidaria; Anthozoa; Malacalcyonacea; Plexauridae.